This 3337-nucleotide long non-coding RNA is filed under the name Mus musculus (house mouse). Its description in RNAcentral is "long non-coding RNA chr17:5250527-5253864". Lineage: Eukaryota; Metazoa; Chordata; Mammalia; Rodentia; Muridae. The record is from RNAcentral.
ACGUGAGGGGUACAGUGCUUUUAUGAGCUAAUGGAAGCAGAGACGAGGAGAGUGUCCGAAUCCAUUUGGCUACAUUUCGGGAAAUGGUGGCUAAAUGAAUAGUGUCUAGAGCUGGUGUGUUCUUAGCUCUUCCGUGUGAGUGUUCUAAAGGAGCAGGCCAUUGGUCCCGAAGGAGCGAGCGUUCCUUCUACUUCCCUGUCUCCUGCUCCGCUGAAGCUGAGGACUCUGAUGUGUUGAUUGAUUAUAGCCGUUAAGCCUAGUACUAAUCAGUUUCAUCAGUUACUCUCAUUCACACACGUGCACCUUUGAUUUCUCUUCCACGACGGGAUGAUGUGGGUUGUCAUUGACUAAUGAAGAGCAGAAUUGAUUUCGGCACGAGACAAACGGAAUGCCGACACCAAUCCUGAAAGGCAUUAAUCUUUAAUAAUUCACAUCUGCAUGUUUAUAAAUGGUAUACCCGGGGAUUGUUAGUGUUGACAUUCUCUCUUCCAAACAGAAAGUGACACCAGGAUUUGUACUUGCAAACUGCUUUAAAUGCACAUUGCAGAAUGCCAGGGUGUGACCUUGUGAAGGCUGCCAGUACAGUGCUGCAUGGGGGCUUCUGUUGCACUUCAGAUGCUGCUGCUUCAGGUGUGUCCUGUGCCAGGCCCGGCAGCCCGGCUGCCCACGGCCUCCCUGCCUUCCUUUAUCACCACUUGCCUCAUUCAUUCCACAGAGCAGACUGUGGACAUGUUUCUAGGACCAUAGGGAAGUGCACUGGGCCUGCACGCGGAGAGUAUGGGAAAAACAUGAAGUUCAUGAAUAAGUGUGCUCUUGGUCUGGGGGACAUUUUGACAGUUAACCAUUCAGACUGGAGUUCAGAUCCCCAGACCCAGAUACGGGGGAUCUUCAGAGCAAGCUAGCUAUAGACUUUGAUUGGAAGGCCCUACCUCAAUCAAUAAAGCAGGCACAUUAUAAUUAUUUUGUUACAUUAUUAUUGGUGAUCCUUUACUAUGCCUAAUAAAUAGGAAACUUUACCAGAGACAUUUAUGUAUGUAAAAAAAUAUAGUUAAUAUAUAAGGUUCAGUGUCCUCUUCAGAUAUUAGGGAAGGGUGGUCGCAGUGGGCACACAGGGUUGUGUGGAGGAGGAGGGGUGAAGAAAUUAGAGAGCAGUGUCUGUGCUUAGAAGAGGAAGGGGCACAGCGGAGGUGGAAGGGAAGCGUUUGGGCUGACCCUGUUUCUGUGACCCUCCUUAGUAAUUCUGCCUAACCAUUCAGAGGGAGGGUUUGUUUUGGUUGAUUUGUUUAUUUUAGCCAAGUUAGGUGUGAAAGUUUGGAUACUGGGGCUGCAUUUCAGUGCAGAUGUGAGAGAGAACUCUGGGUUUGAAGCUAGAGGUGUCUAGCCUUCUGAGCAUUCCAGGGGCAGCAUGGAUUGCUGGCCCCACCCUCACUUAGGAGGUAGUGGCUCUGGCUACCCCGAGCCUCCAGUCAGCCAGUGUGCUGUCCUCACUGUCCCUCAUGAGGGCCAUUGCUUGUGUCUAGGUGACUGUUAGUUAGUCAUCACUGAGAAGCAUGGGGUAGAGAACCACCCCAGGCAGUCUUUGUAGUUGCCAGGUUUGUAUUUGGUUUCCUGGCCUUUCUAGAGCUAGGUUAUGAACUCUGUUGGUAGUGCUGCCACAGUGAAAAAAAUACAAGAGGAGUUACAAUCUCAGGCCUGAGGUCACUGGUGCUGUCCCCAUCUUCACGACCAUCACCGUGAAUCCAUUACACACACACACACACACACACACACACACACACACACACACACACACGAUUAUGACAAGUUCUUUUGAUUUUUUUUUUUAAACACAAAACUGUCAUUUGUAGAGAGCUGCACCUCAGUCCUCAGCGUGUUGCUCUGUCUUGUCCCCUCCUCUCCUAUGUUUUUUCCCUUAGAGACAGUCAUGGAACAGAUUUGCAUUCCUGUAGUAUUAUGACUCUGGGCAAGCCCUUUGCCCACACAGCUGAAGUCAACUACCCUGUGCUUACUCUAUAUUAUCCAUCCUACCCCUCAAGGUCCAACUGAGUCCUUUUCUUGUUAAGUGCAGCUUCCCGUUACAUCAAGGGUGGAGAACCGUGCCUGGCCAGGAGAGGGCGCCCAGUAGAUGUUGACCAAGUGCAAGCAUGCCAAUUCUGAAAGGGGACAAAGAAAAAGAAAAAGAAAGAAAAGGAAAAAGAAAAAGGAGUCUAAGAAAAGACAACUCUGAGGUUAUUCCAGGACUAGCUUUCAUCCUGAGCUGUGGCUUGGUGGGUUGUCUCUCACUGGCCUUUUCCUCCCCUCCUCAGAGAGACUCAAAGGGGAUAGAUCAGUCUGUUAUCUUUGUGCUUAAGAACAGCACCUAAAACCAUAGUUCUCAACUUGUAGAUCUAAGCCAAGUCUUUGAGUCUGAAGGCCUCUGCCUGGUUCUGAGCCUUCACAGAGAUGCAUUAGCAUUCAUAGCACAAUAGUAGCUGCUGACUGAAUCCCUAUCUCGACAACGGGUAAUUAAUACGCUCUAGAUAUUUGAAAAGUGUGCUUGAUAACUACCUAGCUAAAAUCUAAAGUAAGCCUGGUGCGUAUGUGAAGCUGUGGCUCAGAAUGUGGCUCCUCCCCUCUGUGUCCUAGUGGUCUCUGUCAUGCAACCUCCAGUUGUCCCAGAGGCUCCAGGUAACCUGGACACAAGUUCUGAAGAGCUGUGUGCACAAGAGCACAGUGCUUGUUCCACACCCCGCCGUGCUAGGUGGAACUGGACUGAGCCAGCUCAGCACUCGUAGAACCACCACACACACACACACACACACACACACACACACACACACUCACACACACACACACACACACACACACACACACACUCACACACACACACACACACACACUCUGAACUGAGCCAGCUUGCCCCCCACAACGUCCCCCUCACUGGACUGGACUGGUUCAGGGUUUAGCUGCACACUGCCCUAGGUUUCACUGUGCAUCCUUCUCUUCAAAAGCCAUUGACUGAAGCACUGCAUGCAUAUAUGUGACACUGAAUGGAGACCUCACUCAGAUGUUAUUACAUCUAAAUGUGAGCAGUGGUGGUAGGUAGACCCCCAGGUCUUGGGGAUUUCGGCCUUGCUGGUGAGUUUCCCAGAGCAGUACAGCGCGUUAGCUUUUACUUUUCAGAGGUUUUGGAGCUGGGAUGUAGGUUGGUGUCUUCUUGGAAGGUGUAAGCCCUGGGUUCAGUUUCUGGCACCACACAAGCAAAGCGUGAGAGCGCAUGCUUGAAGACCCAGCCCUUGGGAUUAAACCUCAGCUCCAUGGGAAGGUGAAGGCCAGCCUGGACCACAUGAGACCCUGC